RNAcentral lists this long non-coding RNA (398 nucleotides) under Ananas comosus (pineapple). Its description in RNAcentral is "long non-coding RNA (ACOM_LNC003709)". Lineage: Eukaryota; Viridiplantae; Streptophyta; Magnoliopsida; Poales; Bromeliaceae. The record is from RNAcentral.
UUGCCUACCAUUGUCACUAUCAUCAUUUGAUUCGGAGCCAUUGGAAUGGUUUGGACUUUGUAAGUCAUUCAAAUGGGAAGGACUUUGCACAGGAUUAGGAUAAUGGAAAGAGGUAAUGUUUGGAUUUAUCGAAGUGUCUUCUAGAGGGAAUGAUCCAACCUGUCUUUGAUCAAAUAAAUUUAGUUGUUGGGGUAGUGGUGUCGCUAUUGUGUCGGCAUGUCCUUGCUUGAUUUGAUUUGCACUCUCAUUGUUGUAAAGCACCGGUUGCUUCUCUUGGGGCAAAUUUUUGAAAGUAGUUGGGCAAGGUAGCCAUGAAGUGCAUGCUCAAGUGUUGCUGACGUUUGAUCUGGACGAGAGUGACAUUCAAAAUGACCUUGAUCUAAUAGCAUUUCAUCAUA